UGCCAGCCGCCGCGGUAAUACGUAUGGUGCAAGCGUUAUCCGGAAUCACUGGGCGUAAAGGGAGCGUAGGCGGUUUUGCAAGUCAGAAGUGAAAGGCUACGGCUCAACCGUAGUAAGCUUUUGAAACUGCAAGACUAGAGUGCAGGAGAGGCAAGUGGAAUUCCUAGUGUAGAGGUGAAAUUCGUAGAUAUUAGGAGGAACACCAGUGGCGAAGACGACCACCUGGCCAGAUACUGACGCUGAGAUGCGAAAGCGUGGGGAGCAAACAGGAUUAGAUA
Molecule: ribosomal RNA, 278 nt
Filed under: uncultured bacterium
Lineage: Bacteria
Description: partial 16S ribosomal RNA
Rfam family: Bacterial small subunit ribosomal RNA
Source: RNAcentral